GAUGAACGCUGGCGGUAUGCUUAACACAUGCAAGUCGAACGGACUCUCCGGAGUUAGUGGCGGACGGGUGAGUAACGCGUGAGAAUCUGGCUUUGGGUUCGGGACAACCACUGGAAACGGUGGCUAAUACCGGAUGUGCCGAGAGGUAAAAGAGAAAUUGCCUGAAGAUGAGCUCGCGUCUGAUUAGCUAGUUGGUGAGGUAAAGGCUCACCAAGGCAGCGAUCAGUAGCUGGUCUGAGAGGAUGACCAGCCACACUGGGACUGAGACACGGCCCAGACUACUAGGGGAGGCAGCAGUGGGGAAUUUUCAGCAAUGGGCGAAAGGCUGACGGAGCAAUACCGCGUGAGGGAAGAAGGCUAUUGGGUAGUAAACCUCUUUUCUUAGGGAAGAACAAAAUGACGGUACCUAAGGAAUCAGCAUCGGCUAACUCCGUG
This 435-nucleotide ribosomal RNA is filed under the name uncultured bacterium. RNAcentral describes it as "partial 16S ribosomal RNA". It matches the Rfam family "Bacterial small subunit ribosomal RNA", at positions 28 to 507 of the family's 1533-position model. The record is from RNAcentral.